Molecule: ribosomal RNA, 240 nt
Filed under: uncultured bacterium
Lineage: Bacteria
Description: partial 16S ribosomal RNA
Rfam family: Bacterial small subunit ribosomal RNA
Source: RNAcentral
CGGCGGACGGGUGAGUAACACGUGAGUAACGUACCAUAGAGUGGGGGAUAACUACCCGAAAGGGUGGCUAAUACCGCAUAAGACCACAACGCCUUCGGGCGAAGGGGUCAAAGCCUUCGGGCGCUCUUUGAUCGGCUCGCGGACCAUUAGGUAGUUGGUGAGGUAAUGGCUCACAAAGCCUGAGAUGGUUAGCUGGUCUGAGAGGAUGAUCAGCCACACUGGGACUGAGACACGGCCCAG